This 1517-nucleotide long non-coding RNA is filed under the name Sus scrofa (pig). Its description in RNAcentral is "lncRNA (ENSSSCG00015010642.1)". Lineage: Eukaryota; Metazoa; Chordata; Mammalia; Artiodactyla; Suidae. The record is from RNAcentral.
GGGAGCCCGAGUGAGGACCUGGGCUGACCUCUGACCUCCUGACCCCCAGCCCCUGCCUGGUCAUGCCCUCUGUCUAGGUCUAGGGCACCCCAAUGACACCAGAGGGAGUGACCUGCCCUGAGGCCUGUGAAGCCUGGACCUGUAAAAGGAGUCUUCUGCAAACAGGCUCUUGGCUUCCCCGCUGCCUGAGGCUAAGCCCCUCUUUGGAAUCAGUGAUUGAAAACAUCCCCAAGCGUCCAGCUGACGCUGAUCCUUGGCAAGGCCCAGCCUGAGAGGGGGCUGGGCGGUGGCCGCCCCGGACCGGCCUGUGGGUUUGGACGUGGAGCCCAUCGCCCCCGGUCAGGGUAUGUGGGGGUAGCAGGCUGAGGGGUCAGAGGUGAGAACCCUGCUCCAGGCCCUUGCAGCCUCCAGGACGGCACACCCCGGGUGGCGGGCGGGGACCAGGCGAACCGUAUGGGAGGGUCCAAGUUCAACAGGACGGGGUUCGUGGCCGUGGACGCUGCCAGGUUUGCAGAUCGAAGUGCGGAGAGGGGGCUGGAAGACGAAGCCACGCCCUCUCUCCACCCAUCCUCCCCCAACGCCCAGGGCCGAGAGCCCACCCUUGGGGGCUGAGAAAGGAGUCUCCGGGGUCCCUUCCCCAUCGAGGGGUGAGGAGGCUGCCCCUGAGGCACGGGGUACAGGGCAGCGGGCCCACUUGGGCCGCGGGAGUCCUGGACCACGUGGGUGGAAGGCAGCAGGAAUCCCGACCGCGGAGCCUCGGGAGGCGGCAGAGCCCUCCGCGCCGAGAGGGGGCGCUCCAGCGCCGCGGCGGACUCCCCGCGCUGCUGCCAGGGCAGGGCAGAGGGUCCACGGCCUCAGAAGAUAAGAUGGGGAGGGCCUGUGGAAAAGUCUGGGGCAUUUUGCAAAAGGCAGUGUCCAAUCUAUUACUUAGAACAUAGGUUAUAGAAUUUUGAGACAGUAUUCGAUGAAAAGCGACUGUCACUCGAGCUCUCGAACCCAGAGACCAGCCACCCUGGCACACCGCCACGCCACUUCAGAACACGGUAAGCUGGGUGGGCCUUUGGGCUGUCACCUGCUGGGAGAGGGGCAGUGCGUGUGCGGUUCUUCCAGGGUAGCCCCUGCGAAGCAGGGGCCCUUUGGAUCCGUGACCACAGGGAACCUGUUGCUGGUGUGCGAGCUCUGGGCAGCCAGAGGGUCAAUGGCGGCGAGCGACUUGGAUCCAUUACCGUUGCUGUGGUUCUGAUGAGGCAGCAGUUCCAGGGCCCUGCUCCCAACCAAAGCAAAGUCAAGGUAGGGCCAUUAAACUCUGUCUCCUUGGAAAUGAAAUCCGGGUGCCAAGUCACCCCGGGAGAGAAGAAGGCUAGAGCCAAGUAAACUCACAGCCGCAUCCCCGAGUCGCAUUCCUCCAGUUCUGGCUGCUGAGAAGCUGGCUUUCCCCAAGUCCUUAACCUUCUUUAAUCUGGACAUUGAUCUCUCCUUCACUUGCUCUGUUUCCAAUAAAUCCCUCACCAAACUCA